RNAcentral lists this ribosomal RNA (389 nucleotides) under Gymnodiniaceae sp. RNAcentral's name for it is "partial small subunit ribosomal RNA". It matches the Rfam family "Eukaryotic small subunit ribosomal RNA", at positions 582 to 975 of the family's 1831-position model. Lineage: Eukaryota; Dinophyceae; Gymnodiniales; Gymnodiniaceae. The record is from RNAcentral.
AUUCCAGCUCCAAUAGCGUAUAUUAAAGUUGUUGCGGUUAAAAAGCUCGUAGUUGGAUUUCUGCUGAGGACGACCGGUCCGCCCUCUGGGUGAGUAUCUGGCUCGGCCUUGGCAUCUUCUUGGGGAACGUAACUGCACUUGACUGUGUGGUGCGGUAUCCAGGACUUUUACUUUGAGGAAAUUAGAGUGUUUCAAGCAGGCGCACGCCUUGAAUACAUUAGCAUGGAAUAAUAAGAUAGGACCUUGGUUCUAUUUUGUUGGUUUCUAGAGCUGAGGUAAUGAUUAAUAGGGAUAGUUGGGGGUAUUCAUAUUUAAUUGUCAGAGGUGAAAUUCUUGGAUUUAUGAAAGAUGAACUCAUGCGAAAGCAUUUACCAAGGAUGUUUUCAUCG